Molecule: long non-coding RNA, 379 nt
Filed under: Aotus nancymaae (Ma's night monkey)
Lineage: Eukaryota; Metazoa; Chordata; Mammalia; Primates; Aotidae
Description: lncRNA (ENSANAG00000039182.1)
Source: RNAcentral
GUCUUGACUCUCUCAGCUGGUGGCAUUUUACUGGAGCCAUGUGCCUGAAUAGUUUUAAGGAGGAGCUGAAAAAACUCAUCAAGCAAAAUCUUUAUUUACGACACAUUCCGACCCUUGAAAGAAUGCCAUGAGAUGGACAUUGCUUACAAAGGGAUUAUAGCAUGACUCGCUUUUCCACUUAUCAAGGAGACCUUUCAUGUAAGUGUACACAGAUAAAUGGGAAACUUGUAAUGAUAUUGAGAGGUCUUUACUUUAACAUUUUUAUGUUUUGAUCAAUUCCUAAAUGGACCAGCCACUUCUCAGCUUCAGACACAUCUUCUUGUUUGAUAAGUACACUUUGUUUCUCCUUUCAUUUCUAACCUCCAAGGAAACAAACUAU